CCUACGGGUGGCAGCAGUGAGGAAUAUUGGUCAAUGGACGAGAGUCUGAACCAGCCAAGUAGCGUGAAGGAUGAAUGCCCUAUGGGUUGUAAACUUCUUUUAUAUGGGAAUAAAAUGUUCCACGUGUGGGAUUUUGUCUGUACCAUAUGAAUAAGGAUCGGCUAACUCCGUGCCAGCAGCCGCGGUAAUACGGAGGUUCCGAGCGUUAUCCGGAUUUAUUGGGUUUAAAGGGAGCGUAGGUGGAUUGUUAAGUCAGUUGUGAAAGUUUGCGGCUCAACCGUAAAAUUGCAGUUGAAACUGGCAGGCUUGAGUACAGUAGAGGUGAGCGGAAUUCGUGGUGUAGCGGUGAAAUGCUUAGAUAUCACGAAGAACUCCGAUUGCGAAGGCAGCUCACUGGACUGCAACUGACACUGAUGCUCGAAAGUGUGGGUAUCAAACAGGAUUAGAUACCCGGGUAGUC
This 460-nucleotide ribosomal RNA is filed under the name uncultured bacterium. RNAcentral's name for it is "partial 16S ribosomal RNA". It matches the Rfam family "Bacterial small subunit ribosomal RNA", at positions 338 to 795 of the family's 1533-position model. The record is from RNAcentral.